GAUGAACGCUAGCGACAGGCCUAACACAUGCAAGUCGAGGGGCAGCACAUGCGUAGCAAUACAAUGGUGGCGACCGGCGCACGGGUGAGUAACACGUAUGCAACCUACCUGUAAGAGGGGAAUAACCCGGAGAAAUUCGGACUAACACCGCAUAAUACCUCGAAGCUGCAUGGCUUUGAGGUUAAAUAUUUAUAGCUUACAGAUGGGCAUGCGUAACAUUAGAUAGUUGGUGAGGUAACGGCUCACCAAGUCAACGAUGUUUAGGGGUUCUGGGAGGAAGGUCCCCCACACAUGUACUGAGAUACGGAACAGACUCCCACAGGAGGCAGCAUUGAGGAAUAUUGGUCAAUGGGCGAGAGCCUGAACCAGCCAAGUCGCGUGAAGGAAGAAGGUUCUAUGGAUUGUAAACUUCUUUUGUAAGGGAAUAAAAAAGCUUACGUGUAGGCUAUUGUAUGUACUUUACGAAUAAGGAUCGGCUAACUCCGUGCCAGCCGCCGCAGUAA
Molecule: ribosomal RNA, 503 nt
Filed under: uncultured bacterium
Lineage: Bacteria
Description: partial 16S ribosomal RNA
Rfam family: Bacterial small subunit ribosomal RNA
Source: RNAcentral